This is a non-coding RNA of Pelobates cultripes (western spadefoot toad), 233 nucleotides long. The record is from the annotation of a GenBank genome assembly. NCBI's taxonomy places the organism in Eukaryota, Metazoa, Chordata, Amphibia, Anura, Pelobatidae.
CUGUACAUACAGAGUUUAACUUCUCUGUUGCAGGAGGUGUAACUCCACCUCCCGCGGCAUCAUUUCUAGCUUGGAAUUCUUCUAGGCUGGCUAAUGUGAAUUCCGUGCAUACGGGACAUCUGAUGUCAUCACACACAGCCUGCUGUCGACAGGCAUCUAAUGGCAGCAUGCUCCCUCCUCUAGAUUGCCCAUGUCUUUCCCCCUAGAUCCUUCCUCCAGCAGCAAAUUGGAGU